UGCCGUGUAAAGCUCCCACUCGUUUGCACGGGGCAGCUCGUCGAGCGGGACGCUCCAGCGGAACUGGAGUCGCCCUCCCCGUCGGUGAGGAACGGGCCGCCCCAUCCACCAGCUCCAGGUGCUAUUCCCUCCGGCGAGCAUCGCGGCAGGGCCCCGGACGGCGCUUUUGCCUGUUUGAAGCACCCGGGCGCGCGUGGAUGGAGCAGAGCGGGCCCCGGGCUCGCGCGCCUGCAGCCGUCUGUCCGUCCUGCCCCAGCGCGGGAGAGCGGCUCCGUGCCGGUGCCGGUGCCGGCCGGGCGGCAGCCAGCAGAGGGAGAGUCGGAGCGCCAGGCCCYGCUCCUGCCGGGCUCUAUUUCCCAGGAGCCGGCGGCUGAGCAGCUCCGAGCUGUCGCUGCAUCGGAGCAGCUGCAAGGACGCGCUUUGCUUCCCRCUGAGCCGUGUCCCGUGCCGGACGCGGGGCCGGGAGCGCCUGGUGCCGGGCCGCGGUUCCCGAUAGCGGUGCAAAGCAGCAGCCCGAAGGGCGYGAUCGCAAGGUCUCUAAAACUAGACUCACCCGUUUCAAAAGGAUUCUGCAGGUUUCCRGAGUCCACGUGGAUGUUUUGGAGGUCCUGCCGUAUGUGGCAUCUCUGCAGGGGUGAGAACAACUCAGCAGAUGCACUCGCCUGUGGAUCAGUCCCUACCUUUCUCCUGCUCAAAGACCAUGCAGAAAGCAAGAAUCAAGCGACUGAAAGAUUUAUGUUGGAACUAGAUCCCCAUGGAUCAGAACCUCCCAGCACAGUCGGACUUGUACCAAACAUAACUUCAGUCACCCACCCUUGGGAUGGAAACAGGCAGAGCAAACAAUGAAACAAGACUGUUUAUAAAGCCUUCAACACAUUAGGCAGUGGAGAAGAGCCCAAGUUUCCAUGUAAAGGCCUGAAUGGACAAGAAUGACGUGAAGCACAUGGAAAAUAUGGAAAAUGUGGAAUAAGUAAUAAAAUUAUAAAUAAAACAAAUACA
RNAcentral lists this long non-coding RNA (999 nucleotides) under Dromaius novaehollandiae (emu). RNAcentral's name for it is "lncRNA (ENSDNVG00000012941.1)". The record is from RNAcentral. Lineage: Eukaryota; Metazoa; Chordata; Aves; Casuariiformes; Dromaiidae.